RNA transcript from Panicum virgatum (switchgrass), 2439 nucleotides. It is a transcript of the gene named BTB/POZ domain-containing protein At5g41330-like, with no coding region annotated. The record is from RefSeq and is a predicted model, not a curated record. NCBI's taxonomy places the organism in Eukaryota, Viridiplantae, Streptophyta, Magnoliopsida, Poales, Poaceae. The transcript has 4 exons.
AAUUAGCAGGUCAAGAGAAGCCGGAAGUCAACCCAACCACGCACAUCCACCGUCAGAUCACACCCCAGCCAUGGCCUCCGCCUCCGCCGCCGUCGCCCUCAACGUCGGCGGCGAGCUAUUCCAGACCACCGCCGCCACGCUCUCCCGCGCCGGGGCCUCCUCCCCCCUCGCCUCCCUCGGCCCCUCCCCCCAAUCCGCACCGCACUUCCUCGACGGCGACCCGCGCCUCUUCGCCCAGCUCCUCUCCUUCCUCCGCCACGGCCGCCUCCUCGCGCCGGCCCCUCCCUCCGCCGCGCUCCUCGCCGAGGCCCGCCGCUUCGCGCUCGACGGCGCCCUCCUCGCCUCCCUCUCCCCGGCCUCCGCCUUCGCGCCGCUCUCGCUCCGCCCCUCCGCGCUCCUCCCGCUCACCGGCCGCGUCUCGCCCUCCGCCGUGGCGGUGUGCCCCUCGCCGCCGCACCCGGCCUCCCUCGUCGCCGCGCACGGCGGGGUGGUCACCUGCUUCGACGCCGCGCUCGCCACCCGCGCCAGCGUCCUCACGCCGCUCCCCGCCGUUGACUCGCUCGUCGCGGUGUCCCCUGCCCUCGCGCUCGCCGGCGCCCGUGACUUCCCCGGCGUCCACCUCUGCCGAUUCCCCACCGAUGGCCCCGCCGCCGCUGCUGUUCCGGAGGUGCUUUCUUGGCCGGGCUCGCCCUCGGCCACCGUGCUGUCAAUGGCGGCCACAGCGCCGUCCGGAGACCCAUCGGCGCCGUUGCUCUUCGCCAGCUUCGAGUCCGCACGGCGCAACUCGAGCGCCAUGGUGGUGUUCGAUCUGAAUUCCUUGUCUCCUGUGGCGGAAAUCGGGCGGAAGGAGGUGUUCGGUGCGGAUGUUGAGGCCGCGAUACCAGCGACAAAGCUGGGGUGGCUUGGUGAGAACAAUCUCUUGCUCGCUGCCGGCUCAUACUCCAGCCCGGGCGGGGUUGUGGGGGACAUACGCCUGUGGGAUAUCAGGGCCAGUGCUACGGUGCCGGUGUGGGAGGUCAGGGAAAAGGAGGACUGCUUUGCGGAUGUUGCUGCAUCAGACACUCUGUCAGGACUAUUCAAGGUGGGGGCUUCAUCUGGCGAGGUGUUCAUGGCAGACUUGAGGAGGCUUGGUAAUGGUGGUGGCAUUGGGUUGGAGCCAUGGGUGUGCAUUGGCGACGGACAGAGGGCAGCUGCUGCGGCGUCUUCUAGAAGGAAAGAUGGGAAUGGCUGUAUGAUUGAGUGCUACUGCAAUUGGGUGUUUGUGGCACGAGGCGCAGAUGUGGAGGUGUGGAGUCAGGUUGAAUUGGCACCAGAGGCCGGUGGGAAGAAGGUGAUGAAGAGGAAUUGGGUUGGCAGCGGACCAUACAUGGAUGUGGGGGCUGGCGAGGAAGCAGUCAAGGAGAAGGCCAAGAUUGUGAGCUGGGCAUUUGGAGGCAGCAGGAUGGCAUUGGCCAGAGCUGAUAAGAGGUCUGUCGAAGUAUGGGAUAGUGCUCUGGCGAAAAUCUGUGCAAAUCCCUGAAUAGAGGAAGAACAAUGCAAAAAGGCUGGAUUUUUUCCUCUGGUGCGGUGGGAAUUGCGAUUGGUAUGAUUCCAGUGUCAUGAACCUCAUCUAUUUUUUUUUCAAUCCUACAUUAAAAUUUGCUUGCCAAGUUUGUUGUAGUUCACAGUGUCUGCAACAACCAGCGCUAUAGUUCAAGGAACAAAAUUCAGAUUGGUCUCAACCCUGCUAACUAGAGUAUAUCUGCAACACCAUUAGCUUGUUCUGGAUGUGAGUACUAGACUGCAGUUUAACAAGCAAUGCACCCAGCACCAAAGACUAAUUGGUAGGCAGUAUGUGGCGGCAUCCUGUCUAUCCUUUGCAAUUCACCACAUUCAGGUUGGUACAUAAAGAUCUUAAAUUGUUAUAGUUGCAAGCUUCUCCUCAGCCUGUGGUGUAGCGAUGGCUGAAGAAGGAAGAAGUACAUAAGAUCUGCAUAAACUAUCUAACUAGAUAGAAAACUACGUGGACCCUAAGAGAUCCUUUCUACCCAUAUAAAAGAAUUCUCUUUCUAUCAUUACUUAACCCAAACAAAUUAGCUUAUGGUUAGUACACUCCUCAUUGAUUAUGUAAAUCAAUACUUAAGAAUACUUUCAGGUGAAAAUCAUAAACGGUAUGCGUACUCUUGAAGGCUAACAAUAGUGAACUACUCAAUGAAGGCAUAUUUCCCUUUAUGGAUAUGAACUUCUUAACAACAUUUAUCAUCAUUAUUGUUCUUGUUAACUUUUUAGUGGUUUAUCCUACUCUACUUGUUGGCUGAAAGAAUCUAGGCUCCUAUUUCGAGUUUUGGUAAUUAAUGACAAACGUUUGUGGACUAACAAUUUCUUGACAAGAAAUGAGUAUAGGUUGAUCCAAGGUAAAAGUGAGCAUACACCAAUGAUAUGAGAAAGCUUGGAAUUGGU